ACGGCCGUACCAUGCUGAAUAUACCGGUUCUCGUUAGAUCACCGAAGUUAAGCAUCAUUCUGCGCGGUCAGUACUUGGGUGGGUGACCACCUGGGAACACCGCGUGC
RNAcentral lists this ribosomal RNA (107 nucleotides) under Caerostris darwini. Lineage: Eukaryota; Metazoa; Arthropoda; Arachnida; Araneae; Araneidae. The record is from RNAcentral.